CCUACGGGAGGCAGCAGUGGGGAAUAUUGCACAAUGGGGGAAACCCUGAUGCAGCGACGCCGCGUGAGUGAAGAAGUAUUUCGGUACGUAAAGCUCUAUCAGCAGGGAAGAAAAAAAGUCCUUUGGACUUUGGACGGUACCUGACCAAGAAGCCCCGGCUAACUACGUGCCAGCAGCCGCGGUAAUACGUAGGGGGCAAGCGUUAUCCGGAUUUACUGGGUGUAAAGGGAGCGUAGACGGUCCUGCAAGCCAGAUGUGAAAGCCCGGGGCUCAACCCCGGGACUGCAUUUGGAACUGUAAGGCUAGAGUGUCGGAGAGGCAGGCGGAAUUCCUAGUGUAGCGGUGAAAUGCGUAGAUAUUAGGAGGAACACCAGUGGCGAAGGCGGCCUACUGGACGGUGACUGACGCUGAGGCUCGAAAGCGUGGGGAGCAAACAGGAUUAGAUACCCUGGUAGUC
This 457-nucleotide ribosomal RNA is filed under the name uncultured bacterium. RNAcentral describes it as "partial 16S ribosomal RNA". It matches the Rfam family "Bacterial small subunit ribosomal RNA", at positions 338 to 795 of the family's 1533-position model. The record is from RNAcentral.